AUACGUAGGGGGCGAGCGUUGUCCGGAAUGACUGGGCGUAAAGGGCGUGUAGGCGGCGCUGUAAGUCUGGAGUGAAAGUCCCGUUUUCAAGGUGGGAACUGCUUUGGAUACUGCAGUGCUCGAGUGCGGAAGAGGUAAGUGGAAUUUCCAGUGUAGCGGUGAAAUGCGUAGAGAUUGGGAGGAACACCAGUGGCGAAGGCGACUUACUGGGCCGUAACUGACGCUGAGGCGCGAAAGCGUGGGGAGCGAACAGGAUUAGAUACCCUGGUAGUCC
Molecule: ribosomal RNA, 274 nt
Filed under: uncultured bacterium
Lineage: Bacteria
Description: partial 16S ribosomal RNA
Rfam family: Bacterial small subunit ribosomal RNA
Source: RNAcentral